Long non-coding RNA from Arachis ipaensis, 724 nucleotides. RefSeq lists it as uncharacterized. The record is from RefSeq and is a predicted model, not a curated record. NCBI's taxonomy places the organism in Eukaryota, Viridiplantae, Streptophyta, Magnoliopsida, Fabales, Fabaceae.
GAUGAGAUUAAGGCAUGUAAUAAAAUGUAUUCUAUUGUGUCAGACAGAACCACGUGCUGCCUUGAAUCUUGCAUCAUAUGGAAGUAGUCAUGCUUUCAAACUAACUAAGGAAGAUAUUGUUUUGUAUUCGGCCAAGGAUAGAGAACAAACAAGCAAACAAGAAAGAAAGUUUUGAUUUUUGCAUCUGGGGUGAACACUUUUUAUGCUUCCUUAUUCCAACUGGUUUGUUAGAGUCCGUUUCACAUUGUGGCAUGCAUAACAUUCUUUUGAGUUCUGAGAAUCUUGAGUUGUUGUAGUGAGUUCUUAGUUCAUCAAAAAAGAAUGACAGGAGGUGAACCACAACCAAAGCAAGAUGAGCAGCCACAUCUAGUUAAAGAUUAGUUACCACAUGUUUCUUACUGCAUUACAAGUCCUCCUCCAUGGCCUGAGGCAAUCCUACUUGGUUUCCAACAUUAUCUGGUGAUUCUUGCCACAACUGUUCUGAUUUCUAGCUCUGAUUCCUAAUUCCUUGCUCUGAUUCCUAUCUGGUGAUUCUUGGUCUAGGAACAUUAGAAUAAUCAUAUUCUGCAAUGCCAUUGGUGAUAGAAACGGACGUUCGAGGACAAAUAUUUGAGACUUUUAUGUAAUUAGAUAUUGAAAUAUUGAAGUUGUUGUUUUAUUUUACUUUUGAAAGAAAAAUUAGUAAUAGUUUUGUAGAACAAUACCAUGUGGAAUUAUGUUUGGA